This 1193-nucleotide ribosomal RNA is filed under the name Salmonella enterica subsp. enterica. Its description in RNAcentral is "partial 23S ribosomal RNA". It matches the Rfam family "Bacterial large subunit ribosomal RNA", at positions 657 to 1831 of the family's 2925-position model. The record is from RNAcentral. Lineage: Bacteria; Pseudomonadati; Pseudomonadota; Gammaproteobacteria; Enterobacterales; Enterobacteriaceae.
AUAGGGGAGCCGGAGGGAAACCGAGUCUUAAUUGGGCGUUAAGUUGCAGGGUAUAGACCCGAAACCCGGUGAUCUAGCCAUGGGCAGGUUGAAGGUUGGGUAACACUAACUGGAGGACCGAACCGACUAAUGUUGAAAAAUUAGCGGAUGACCUGUGGCUGGGGGUGAAAGGCCAAUCAAACCGGGAGAUAGCUGGUUCUCCCCGAAAGCUAUUUAGGUAGCGCCUCGUGAAUUCAUCUCCGGGGGUAGAGCACUGUUUCGGCUAGGGGGCCAUCCCGGCUUACCAACCCGAUGCAAACUGCGAAUACCGGAGAAUGUUAUCACGGGAGACACACGGCGGGUGCUAACGUCCGUCGUGAAGAGGGAAACAACCCAGACCGCCAGCUAAGGUCCCAAAGUCAUGGUUAAGUGGGAAACGAUGUGGGAAGGCCCAGACAGCCAGGAUGUUGGCUUAGAAGCAGCCAUCAUUUAAAGAAAGCGUAAUAGCUCACUGGUCGAGUCGGCCUGCGCGGAAGAUGUAACGGGGCUAAACCAUGCACCGAAGCUGCGGCAGCGACACUGUGUGUUGUUGGGUAGGGGAGCGUUCUGUAAGCCUGUGAAGGUGGCCUGUGAGGGUUGCUGGAGGUAUCAGAAGUGCGAAUGCUGACAUAAGUAACGAUAAAGCGGGUGAAAAGCCCGCUCGCCGGAAGACCAAGGGUUCCUGUCCAACGUUAAUCGGGGCAGGGUGAGUCGACCCCUAAGGCGAGGCCGAAAGGCGUAGUCGAUGGGAAACGGGUUAAUAUUCCCGUACUUGGUGUUACUGCGAAGGGGGGACGGAGAAGGCUAUGUUGGCCGGGCGACGGUUGUCCCGGUUUAAGCGUGUAGGUGUGUGUUCCAGGUAAAUCCGGUUCACUUUAACACUGAGGCGUGACGACGAGGCACUACGGUGCUGAAGCAACAAAUGCCCUGCUUCCAGGAAAAGCCUCUAAGCAUCAGGUAACAUCAAAUCGUACCCCAAACCGACACAGGUGGUCAGGUAGAGAAUACCAAGGCGCUUGAGAGAACUCGGGUGAAGGAACUAGGCAAAAUGGUGCCGUAACUUCGGGAGAAGGCACGCUGACACGUAGGUGAAGUGAUUUACUCAUGGAGCUGAAGUCAGUCGAAGAUACCAGCUGGCUGCAACUGUUUAUUAAAAACACAGCACUGUGCAAACA